UACGGAGGGAGCGAGCGUUGUCCGAAGUUACUGGGCGUAAAGCGCGCGUAGGCGGGAAAUUAAGUGAGAAGUGAAAGGCUGGGGCUUAACCCCAUGCAGUGCUCCUCAUACUGGUUUUCUUGAGGGUGGUAGAGAGAAGUGGAAUGGCUGGUGUAGCGGUGAAAUGCGUAGAUAUCAGUCGGAACACCAGUGGCGAAGGCGGCUUCUUGGGCCAUUACUGACGCUGAGGUGCGAAAGCGUGGGGAGCAAACAGG
This 254-nucleotide ribosomal RNA is filed under the name uncultured bacterium. Its description in RNAcentral is "partial 16S ribosomal RNA". It matches the Rfam family "Bacterial small subunit ribosomal RNA", at positions 524 to 776 of the family's 1533-position model. The record is from RNAcentral.